RNAcentral lists this transfer-messenger RNA (351 nucleotides) under Oscillospiraceae. RNAcentral's name for it is "Ruminiclostridium_E sp017941355 Standard tmRNA". It matches the Rfam family "transfer-messenger RNA". Rfam says of the family: Bacterial tmRNA, also known as 10Sa RNA or SsrA, is named for its dual tRNA and mRNA-like properties. Lineage: Bacteria; Bacillati; Bacillota; Clostridia; Eubacteriales. The record is from RNAcentral. RNAcentral also lists the same sequence under 1 other name.
GGGGGCGUAAAGGUUUCGACGGGGAUCGUGAAUCGGGUCAAGCACGCGGAGUUCGCCUAAACUCCUUAAUAAUGGGUAACUUUAAAAUUAAACGCAGAUCAUAACGAUUUUGCACUCGCUGCCUGAGCGCAGCGCGUCCUGCCGAUGAGUGCUGCGGCUUCGGUUUGGGCGUCACACAGCAGCCAACGCGUAGGGUGAGAGCUCUGUAACUCCACGCGCUCUUAAAGAGCUGCCGGAGGUCUAUCCUGUCGUUCGGAGAGACCAAAGGGAGAUUCAAAAGAUCGACUAAGCGUGUAGAAAAAUCCGCGGAUCGGUUUUCGGACAGGGGUUCGACUCCCCUCGCCUCCACCA